UGGGGAAUAUUGCACAAUGGGCGAAAGCCUGAUGCAGCAACGCCGCGUGAGCGAUGAAGGCCUUCGGGUUGUAAAGCUCUGUCUUCGCUGACGAAAUCUGACGGUAAGCGAGGAGGAAGCCACGGCUAACUACGUGCCAGCAGCCGCGGUAAUACGUAGGUGGCAAGCGUUGUCCGGAAUUACUGGGCGUAAAGGGUGCGUAGGCGGUCCUUUAAGUGGGAUGUGAAAUCCCUGGGCUUAACCCAGGAACUGCAUUCCAAACUGGAGGACUAGAGUGCAGGAGAGGAAAGCGGUAUUCCCAGUGUAGCGGUGAAAUGCGUAGAGAUUGGGAGGAACACCAGUAGCGAAGGCGGCUUUCUGGAAUGUAACUGACGCUGAGGCACGAAAGCGUGGGGAGCAAACAGG
Molecule: ribosomal RNA, 405 nt
Filed under: uncultured bacterium
Lineage: Bacteria
Description: bacterial SSU rRNA
Rfam family: Bacterial small subunit ribosomal RNA
Source: RNAcentral